UAAGAAUGGUAAAGAAAAAUAAAGAGUUUUAUUACUUAAACAAAAAUACUAAUUGUUUUUGUCCAUAAAACAUUCCCCUGGAUGGUUACAACAGUCCCCUGUCACGGUUUUGCGAAAAAUCGUCCAUAACUCAAAAACCAAGGGGAAAAUGUGUGGGCUUUUUUAAGAUAUAUAUUUAAUUUACUAUUGCCCUUAAUUUUAUUGACAAACAUUCUCAACAUUUAAUAAAAUUACUUCAGGACAGUCUUGUAUGGACGAAUUUCCAAAUAGCAGAGAAACGCCCAUUUAUGUUCAUGUCACUUUUCACCGGAAUCAUUCGAUUGAACAUCUGCCUUCAAAGUUAGGCUGAAAGAUGAUGCUAUUCCAAAUGUUUGCAUCCAGAAGAAUGCUGUCUUGCAAGACACAUGCAGCGUUGAUAAAAAACAAGAUUGCUCUGAAGCCACAGAAAGUUUUCUCUCAGAUGGGGUCGCAUUGCACCCCGAAGCAGCGGAACCUUCAUCUUCAAUCGAUGAAAUUUGUGAAUCAGCAAAUAAAGGGCCGAGAAUUGAUAGCCCAUCAAAGGGUUGUAACAAAAAAAAUGUCUUUUGUCAAACGCCACAACCGCCCAAAUGUGUCGAUAAAGCUACGUGAGUAUCGAAAUUAUUCAUUGUAAAUUCUCCCACCAGGGUGUAUACGCACCGGGAAAUCCAGGAAUUCCAGGAAAAAGCUGGGAAUUUUUCCUACCGGGAUAAAACCAGGAAAAAUACGGGAAUUUUCUGGUACUCCAGAAUAAUGAGACAAAUUUUGCACAAUUAGUACCUAAUUCAUAUUUUUUAGAAAACAUUUUUUCCCAUUCUGCCUUGUUAACUUUGUAUUAAGGUAGUUCUGUAUGUACACGUAUCAGCCAAAAGUUUCGACCGUAGUGUACAGUAAGAUCUCAUACGUACGUGGCGCUACCUGUCUCGAACUUUUGGCGAUGCUGUACACUGUUCAUGUUCUACACAAUCACACCUUAUGCAUGGAUAGGGC
Long non-coding RNA from Neodiprion fabricii, 1008 nucleotides. RefSeq lists it as uncharacterized. Lineage: Eukaryota; Metazoa; Arthropoda; Insecta; Hymenoptera; Diprionidae. The transcript has 3 exons. The record is from RefSeq and is a predicted model, not a curated record.